Silurus meridionalis is the source of this 369-nucleotide long non-coding RNA. RefSeq lists it as uncharacterized. The record is from RefSeq and is a predicted model, not a curated record. Lineage: Eukaryota; Metazoa; Chordata; Actinopteri; Siluriformes; Siluridae. The transcript has 3 exons.
AUCUUCCUAUUUGAUAAAAUAACCGGAAAAAGAACAAAUGAGGGAAAAGCAGAAUUGAAAGUCCACUGGUUGCCUUGCACUGUGUGUGGCAAAACUUGGGAUGACACCUGGGAGCCUGCCAGCGAGUUCCAGCAUUUUUUGCCAGAGUCUCCAAAUACCAACCAGCUUUCAGAAUGUCAAUUUUGAGGGUUUUGUCAAUGUUGUUCUUGUUGUUUUUUGUUAUUGCUGUAAUUCAUUAAAGUUUUUGUACAGUGCAUACCCUCUUUUAGUAUUUAUUUUGUUGUCAUUUUAUACACCUUUUGCAUGUUUUCUGAACUGCGUAACAGCCAGGUGGUGUAACAUGGAGAGGACAUGCUACAAACAUGCUGU